Molecule: unclassified non-coding RNA, 344 nt
Filed under: soil metagenome
Description: partial contains 5.8S ribosomal RNA, internal transcribed spacer 2, and large subunit ribosomal RNA
Rfam family: 5.8S ribosomal RNA (bases 3-119)
Source: RNAcentral
GGUGAAGAACGUAGCGAAAUGCGAUACGUAAUGUGAAUUGCAGAAUUCAGUGAAUCAUCGAGUCUUUGAACGCACAUUGCGCCCCCUGGUAUUCCGGGGGCAUGCCUGUCCGAGCGUCAUUGCUGCCCUCAAGCACGGCUUGUGUGUUGGGCCUCCGUCCUCCUCCCGGGGGACGGGCCCGAAAGGCAGCGGCGGCACCGCGUCCGGUCCUCGAGCGUAUGGGGCUUCGUCACCCGCUCUUGUAGGCCCGGCCGGCGCUUGCCGACACAUCAAUCUUUUUUCCAGGUUGACCUCGGAUCAGGUAGGGAUACCCGCUGAACUUAAGCAUAUCAAUAAGCGGAGGA